GACGAACGCUGGCGGCGUGCUUAACACAUGCAAGUCGAACGAUGAAGCUGGAGCUUGCUCUGGCGGAUUAGUGGCGAACGGGUGAGUAACACGUGAGAAAUCUGCCCUUGACUCUGGGAUAACUGCGGGAAACUGUAGCUAAUACCGGAUACUUUCACUGGUGGGCAUCCACUGGGUAAGAAAGAAUUUCGGUCAAGGAUGAUCUCGCGGCCUAUCAGCUUGUUGGUGAGGUAAUGGCUCACCAAGGCGACGACGGGUAGCCGGCCUGAGAGGGUGACCGGCCACACUGGGACUGAGACACGGCCCAGACUCCUACGGGAGGCAGCAGUGGGGAAUAUUGCACAAUGGGCGCAAGCCUGAUGCAGCAACGCCGCGUGAGGGAUGAAGGCCUUCGGGUUGUAAACCUCUUUUGGCAGGGAAGAAGCGAAAGUGACGGUACCUGCAGAAAAAGCACCGGCUAACUACGUGCCAGCCGCCGCCGUAA
RNAcentral lists this ribosomal RNA (484 nucleotides) under uncultured bacterium. RNAcentral's name for it is "partial 16S ribosomal RNA". It matches the Rfam family "Bacterial small subunit ribosomal RNA", at positions 28 to 523 of the family's 1533-position model. The record is from RNAcentral.